AAAUCAAGAGUCAGACGCUUAACUGACGGAGCCACACAGGCGCCCCAGGAGUUUUAAAUGUUAAUGUUUUCGACUGUGUCAACCUUUCCCUUUAUGGUGUGUGUAUUUUAUUUUCUCCUUAAAUGCAUAAACGGCUGCAAUAUCUUCGCCGUAGGUGUUCACGCCUCUGCAACGUGUCUUUGUAGCACCUCGUCCUGUUAGGAGGUGCUGUUCUAUCGCUAUCCUUCUGGAGUCUCUGUACUUGCUUCGGCCAAGGGAAGACGGCAGAAGUGAUGCUGUGGCUAUUCUGAGCGCAGAGGACUUCGGGAGCUCUGCCUGCUGCCGUGUAAAUGAACCCACGCUAGCCUACUGGAUGAUGAAGGAUGUGGCCCCGUCACCCCAGUGGCCCCAGCCCACAGCCGGCUCAGCUAACCUGGCAGCUGGCCAUGGUUGCCUGAGCGAGCCCAGCAAAGACCAUCCAAAGUGCAGUUCGAGAAAGACACUCUCUACAGAGAGAGCGCGGGUCCCCACCCCCUCCACCAGCUCUGCAGGAGGAGAGCCGUCCAACCCCACGCUUCAUCCGAAUGUUCUCGCUGAAGUAAAUGAAGAAUCCAAUCUCGGAUGAUUCACCGAGUCAGAACAAGGUCGCAAGCUGGGUGGCUGCAACAUUUCCUUUCUCACCGGCAGCAUGUGAGUGAUCCAGCCUCUCUGAAUCCGGGCGUGCAGGAGAAAUCUCUCCAGGAUUUUGAAAGGAACUUUGAAUGUUAAACUUAUAUAUCAACUUGGGGAGAAUUGACACCUUUACUAUGUGGAGUCUUCCAAUCCAUGAACAUGUUUAACAUUGUCUUGGAAGGCCGGGCCGGAGCAAAUGGGCAAGACAAAGAAAGAAAGAAAAGUCGUCCUUGGGGCGCCUGGGUGGCUC
Lynx canadensis (Canada lynx) is the source of this 901-nucleotide long non-coding RNA. RefSeq lists it as uncharacterized. The transcript has 5 exons. NCBI's taxonomy places the organism in Eukaryota, Metazoa, Chordata, Mammalia, Carnivora, Felidae. The record is from RefSeq and is a predicted model, not a curated record.